This is a small nucleolar RNA of Gastrolobium bilobum, 141 nucleotides long. RefSeq annotates it as small nucleolar RNA snoR135. NCBI's taxonomy places the organism in Eukaryota, Viridiplantae, Streptophyta, Magnoliopsida, Fabales, Fabaceae. The record is from RefSeq and is a predicted model, not a curated record. The transcript has a single exon.
AGAGCAGGGAUUGUGUGUAUCGGUUUUGUGCUGCGAUCAAUGCACUCUUCCGAAAGAGUUCCCUGCAACAUUGUUUUGAGAAAAUGGGCAGUUGUGUUUCAUCUCUUGUUGAAAAUCACAACAAUCAUUUUCCCUACAUCU